RNAcentral lists this ribosomal RNA (425 nucleotides) under uncultured bacterium. RNAcentral's name for it is "bacterial SSU rRNA". It matches the Rfam family "Bacterial small subunit ribosomal RNA", at positions 354 to 796 of the family's 1533-position model. The record is from RNAcentral.
GUGGGGAAUAUUGGACAAUGGGCGAAAGCCUGAUCCAGCAAUGCCGCGUGAGUGAUGAAGGCCUUAGGGUUGUAAAGCUCUUUUACCAGGGAUGAUAAUGACAGUACCUGGAGAAUAAGCUCCGGCUAACUCCGUGCCAGCAGCCGCGAUAAUACGGAGGGAGCUAGCGUUGUUCGGAAUUACUGGGCGUAAAGCGCACGUAGGCGGUUACUCAAGUCAGAGGUGAAAGCCCGGGGCUCAACCCCGGAACUGCCUUUGAAACUAGGUAACUAGAAUCUUGGAGAGGUCAGUGGAAUUCCGAGUGUAGAGGUGAAAUUCGUAGAUAUUCGGAAGAACACCAGUGGCGAAGGCGACUGACUGGACAAGUAUUGACGCUGAGGUGCGAAAGCGUGGGGAGCAAACAGGAUUAGAUACCCCAGUAGUCC